UGGUUUCUUUUCAGAUCGUAUAAAUCUUUUUUGCCUUUUACUAAAGAUUUCUGUGGAGAGGAACAUUUAU
Molecule: small nuclear RNA, 70 nt
Filed under: Chelonoidis abingdonii (Abingdon island giant tortoise)
Lineage: Eukaryota; Metazoa; Chordata; Testudines; Testudinidae
Description: U5 spliceosomal RNA (ENSCABG00000017027.1)
Rfam family: U5 spliceosomal RNA
About the family: U5 RNA is a component of both types of known spliceosome. The precise function of this molecule is unknown, though it is known that the 5' loop is required for splice site selection and p220 binding, and that both the 3' stem-loop and the Sm site are important for Sm protein binding and cap methylation.
Source: RNAcentral